Molecule: non-coding RNA, 21 nt
Filed under: Caenorhabditis elegans
Lineage: Eukaryota; Metazoa; Nematoda; Chromadorea; Rhabditida; Rhabditidae
Source: RNAcentral
UCACCGAACUAGUGACCCUGC